Molecule: ribosomal RNA, 484 nt
Filed under: uncultured bacterium
Lineage: Bacteria
Description: partial 16S ribosomal RNA
Rfam family: Bacterial small subunit ribosomal RNA
Source: RNAcentral
AUUGAACGCUGGCGGCAGGCCUAACACAUGCAAGUCGAGCGGAUGCAGGGAGCUUGCUCCUGGAUACAGCGGCGGACGGGUGAGUAAUGGCUAGGAAUCUGCCUGGUAGUGGGUGAUAGCGGCCGGACACGGGCGCUAAUACGGCAUAAGUCCUGAGGGAGAAAGGGGGGGAUCUUCGGACCUUCCGCUAUCAGAUGAGCCUAGGUCGGGUUUGCUGGUUGGUGGGGUAAAGGCCUACCAAGGCGGCGAUCCGUAAAUGGUCUGCAGAGAUGAUACGUCAACAUUGGACCUGGGAAACGGCCAAGAUCCUAACGGGAGGCAGAAGUGGGAAAUAUGGGACAAUGGGCGAAAGCCUGACCCAGCAAUGCCGGGUGGGUGAAGAAGGCUUCCGGAUGUUAAAGCACUUUAAGUGGGAAGGAAGGGCAGUAAGUAAAAACCUUGUUGUCUUGACGUUACCAACAGAAUAAGCACGGGCUAACUCCUU